RNAcentral lists this unclassified non-coding RNA (212 nucleotides) under plant metagenome. RNAcentral's name for it is "partial contains small subunit ribosomal RNA, internal transcribed spacer 1, and 5.8S ribosomal RNA". The record is from RNAcentral.
UCUCCGUAGGUGAACCUGCGGAGGGAUCACUACAGGCUUGCAAAAGCUCUGAAACCACUGUUUAUCUACCUGAAUCUGCUUCGGCGGGCGGCCCCAGGGCGGGGCCGUAGCCGCAAGGCGCCCGCCGAAGACCCCUAAACUCUGUCGUCUUAGAAUCUCUGAGUAAUUAUAUUAAACAAAAACAACUUUCAACAACGGAUCUCUUGGCUCUG